RNAcentral lists this ribosomal RNA (253 nucleotides) under uncultured bacterium. RNAcentral describes it as "partial 16S ribosomal RNA". It matches the Rfam family "Bacterial small subunit ribosomal RNA", at positions 526 to 779 of the family's 1533-position model. The record is from RNAcentral.
CGUAGGGUGCAAGCGUUGUCCGGAAUUAUUGGGCGUAAAGAGCUCGUAGGCGGUUUGUCGCGUCUGCUGUGAAAUCCCGAGGCUCAACCUCGGGCUUGCAGUGGGUACGGGCAGACUAGAGUGCGGUAGGGGAGAUUGGAAUUCCUGGUGUAGCGGUGGAAUGCGCAGAUAUCAGGAGGAACACCGAUGGCGAAGGCAGAUCUCUGGGCCGUAACUGACGCUGAGGAGCGAAAGCAUGGGAGCGAACAGGAUU